RNAcentral lists this ribosomal RNA (48 nucleotides) under Aelurostrongylus abstrusus (cat lungworm). Its description in RNAcentral is "partial 28S ribosomal RNA". Lineage: Eukaryota; Metazoa; Nematoda; Chromadorea; Rhabditida; Metastrongylidae. The record is from RNAcentral.
CAACCUGAACUCGGAUGUGAUUACCCGCUGAACUUAAGCAUAUCAUUU